Molecule: ribosomal RNA, 883 nt
Filed under: uncultured Mycoplasma sp.
Lineage: Bacteria; Bacillati; Mycoplasmatota; Mollicutes; Mycoplasmatales; Mycoplasmataceae
Description: bacterial SSU rRNA
Rfam family: Bacterial small subunit ribosomal RNA
Source: RNAcentral
UACCACGUGAACGAUGAAGGUCUUCUGAUUGUAAAGUUCUUUUACUUAGGAAAAAAAGCUUGACAGGAAAUGGUUAAGCCUUGAUCGUACUAGGUGAAUAAGUGACAGCUAACUAUGUGCCAGCAGCUGCGGUAACACAUAGGUCACAAGCAUUAUCCGGAUUUAUUGGGCGUAAAGGAAGCGUAGGCGGACAGUCUGAUCCAUUGUUAAAUGCACUUGCUCAACAAGUGUAUGCAGUGGAGAUCUCCUGUCUAGAAUUAAUUAGGAGAAACUGGAAUUCAAUGUGUAGUGGUGGAAUACGUAGAUAUAUUGAGGAACACCAAAGGCGAAAGCAAGUUUCUAGAAUAUAAUUGACGCUGAGGCUUGAAAGCGUGGGGAGCAAAUGGGAUUAGAUACCCCAGUAGUCCACGCCGUAAACGAUGGGUAUUUGGUAUUUGGGCUGGACCUGAGUGCCGGAGCUAACGCGUUAAAUGCCCCGCCUGGGUAGUAUAUAUGCAAAUAUGAAACUCAAAGAAAUUGACGGGGAUCUGAACAAGUGGUGGAGCAUGUUGCUUAAUUCGAUAAUACACGAAAAACCUUACCAAGGCUUGUAAUCUUCUGCAAAAGUGUAGAAAUACAGUGGAGUAUAUCAGAAUGACAGGUGGUGCAUGGCUGUCGUCAGCUCGUGUCUUGAGAUGUUUGGUUAAGUCCCGUAACGAGCGCAACCCCUCUCAUUAGUUAAUUAGUUCUAAUGUGACUGAAUCGUAAGAUAUAGGAAGGAUGGGGCCAAGUCAAGUCAUCAUGCCCCUUAUGCCUUGGGCUGCAAACGUGCUACAAUGGUAGGUACAAUGUGUUGCAACUUAGCGAUAAUGAGCUAAUCACCGAAAACCUAUCUCAGUCCGGA